Molecule: unclassified non-coding RNA, 335 nt
Filed under: soil metagenome
Description: partial contains 5.8S ribosomal RNA, internal transcribed spacer 2, and large subunit ribosomal RNA
Rfam family: 5.8S ribosomal RNA (bases 1-120)
Source: RNAcentral
GAUGAAGAACGUAGCGAAAUGCGAUAAGUAGUGUGAAUUGUAGAAUUCAGUGAAUCAUCGAAUCUUUGAACGCACAUUGCGCCCUUUGGUAUUCCUUAGGGCAUGCCUGUUCGAGCGUCAUUUAAACCUUCAAGCUCAGCUUGGUGAUGGGCGACUGUCCUCCCCUCGCGGGGGGACUCGCCUCAAAAACAUUGGCGGCCGGUACAUUGGCUUCGAGCGCAGCAGAAACGCGGUCUCGAGCCCGGUGGAUCGGCUCCCAUAAGCCUAUUCUUUUAUUUUGACCUCGGAUCAGGUAGGGAUACCCGCUGAACUUAAGCAUAUCAAUAAGCGGAGGA